UAAGCUUAGGGGAAGCUGAGGGAGACUGC
This 29-nucleotide non-coding RNA is filed under the name Homo sapiens (human). The record is from RNAcentral. Lineage: Eukaryota; Metazoa; Chordata; Mammalia; Primates; Hominidae.